AAGCGCUCAUGACCAGACUUGGGCCCGGUGAAUCAUCCAGCGUUCUCGCUGGUGCACUUUGCCGGGCUCAGGCCAGCAUCAGUUUGCCCCGGGGGAUAAAGGCUCUGGGAAUGUGGCUCCCUAGGGAGUGUUAUAGCCCACUGCACAAUACCCUGGGGCAGACUGAGGUUCGCGCGUCUGCAAGGAUGCUGGCGUAAUGGUCAUCAGCGA
This 210-nucleotide ribosomal RNA is filed under the name Nomuraea sp. RNAcentral's name for it is "partial large subunit ribosomal RNA". Lineage: Eukaryota; Fungi; Ascomycota; Sordariomycetes; Hypocreales; Clavicipitaceae. The record is from RNAcentral.